UACGGAGGGAGCUAGCGUUGUUCGGAAUUACUGGGCGUAAAGCGUACGUAGGCGGUUCUUCAAGUCAGAGGUGAAAGCCCGGGGCUCAACCCCGGAACGGCCUUUGAAACUAGAUAGCUAGAGUCUUGGAGAGGUUAGUGGAAUUCCGAGUGUAGAGGUGAAAUUCGUAGAUAUUCGGAAGAACACCAGUGGCGAAGGCGACUAACUGGACAAGUACUGACGCUGAGGUACGAAAGCCAGGGGAGCGAACGGG
RNAcentral lists this ribosomal RNA (253 nucleotides) under uncultured bacterium. Its description in RNAcentral is "partial 16S ribosomal RNA". It matches the Rfam family "Bacterial small subunit ribosomal RNA", at positions 524 to 776 of the family's 1533-position model. The record is from RNAcentral.